CAUGACCAUCUCAGGGUGGUAUGUUCCAGAUCUCCUGUGGUCUCAGAAGCUAAGCAGGGUUGGACCUGGUUAGUAUUUGGAUGGGAGGCCACUUGGGACUACUAGGUUCUGUCUCGA
This 117-nucleotide ribosomal RNA is filed under the name Amphilophus citrinellus (Midas cichlid). The record is from RNAcentral. Lineage: Eukaryota; Metazoa; Chordata; Actinopteri; Cichliformes; Cichlidae.